RNAcentral lists this ribosomal RNA (253 nucleotides) under uncultured bacterium. RNAcentral's name for it is "partial 16S ribosomal RNA". It matches the Rfam family "Bacterial small subunit ribosomal RNA", at positions 524 to 776 of the family's 1533-position model. The record is from RNAcentral.
UACGAGGGGGGCAAAUGUUGUUCGGAAUCACUGGGCGUAAAGGGAGCGUAGGCGGGCUUCUAAGUUAGGUGUUUAAUCCCAGGGCCCAACCCUGGUCAGGCACCUAAAACUGGGAGUCUUGAAUAGUGGAGAGGACGAUGGAAUUGGAGGUGUAGCGGUGGAAUGCGUAGAGAUCCCCAAGAACACCAGUUGCGAAGGCGGUCGUCUGGACACAUAUUGACGCUGAGGCUCGAAAGCAUGGGGAGCAAACAGG